RNAcentral lists this ribosomal RNA (301 nucleotides) under uncultured bacterium. RNAcentral describes it as "partial 16S ribosomal RNA". It matches the Rfam family "Bacterial small subunit ribosomal RNA", at positions 509 to 807 of the family's 1533-position model. The record is from RNAcentral.
CAGCCGCCGCGGGAAUACGUAGGGUGCAAGCGUUAAUCGGAAUUACUGGGCGUAAAGCGCACGCAGGCGGUCUGUCAAGUCAGAUGUGAAAUCCCCGGGCUUAACCUGGGAACUGCAUUUGAAACUGGCAGGCUGGAGUCUUGUAGAGGGGGGUAGAAUUCCAGGUGUAGCGGUGAAAUGCGUAGAGAUCUGGAGGAAUACCGGUGGCGAAGGCGGCCCCCUGGACAAAGACUGACGCUCAGGUGCGAAAGCGUGGGGAGCAAACAGGAUUAGAUACCCCUGUAGUCCCUGUCUCUUAUAC